UUCGGGUCGCCGGCGAGUGGCAAACGGGUGAGUAACGCGUGGAUACCUGUCCUGUGGUGGGGAAUAACGUUUAGAAAUGAACGCUAAUACCGCAUAAGCCCUGCGGGGGAAAGAUUUAUCGCCAUAGGAGGGGUCCGCGUCGGAUUAGCUAGUUGAUGGGGUAACGGCCUACCAAGGCGACGAUCCGUAGCUGGUCUGAGAGGAUGAUCAGCCACACUGGGACUGAGACACGGCCCAGACUCCUACGGGAGGCAGCAGUGGGGAAUAUUGCGCAAUGGAGGAAACUCUGACGCAGCGACGCCGCGUGGGUGAAGAAGGCCUUAGGGUUGUAAAGCCCUUUCAGUGGGAAAGAUGAUGACGGUACCCACAGAAGAAGCCCCGGCUAACUCCGUGCCAGCAGCCGCGGUAAUACGGAGGGGGCCAGCGUUGUUCGGAAUUACUGGGCGUAAAGGGCGCGUAGGCGGUUGAUCAAG
RNAcentral lists this ribosomal RNA (473 nucleotides) under uncultured Magnetococcus sp. Its description in RNAcentral is "bacterial SSU rRNA". It matches the Rfam family "Bacterial small subunit ribosomal RNA", at positions 79 to 587 of the family's 1533-position model. The record is from RNAcentral. Lineage: Bacteria; Pseudomonadati; Pseudomonadota; Magnetococcia; Magnetococcales; Magnetococcaceae.